AGUAAAAGUGUUAACACGGUGUCUGUAGGUGAGCACGCGGAGGGAUCUCUACACGUGACCCCCGUGUAACCACCGGGAUGUUCAUAACCCUUUGUUGUCCGACUCUGUUGCCUCCGGGGCGACCCUGCCUUCGGGCGGGGGCUCCGGGUGGACACUUCAAACUCUUGCGUAACUUUGCAGUCUGAGUAAACUUAAUUAAUAAAUUAAAACUUUUAACAACGGAUCUCUUGGUUCUGGCAUCGAUGAAGAACGCAGCGAAAUGCGAUAAGUAAUGUGAAUUGCAGAAUUCAGUGAAUCAUCGAAUCUUUGAACGCACAUUGCGCCCCCUGGUAUUCCGGGGGGCAUGCCUGUUCGAGCGUCAUUUCACCACUCAAGCCUCGCUUGGUAUUGGGCAACGCGGUCCGCCGCGUGCCUCAAAUCGUCCGGCUGGGUCUUCUGUCCCCUAAGCGUUGUGGAAACUAUUCGCUAAAGGGUGUUCGGGAGGCUACGCCGUAAAACAACCCCAUUUCUAAGGUUGACCUCGGAUCAGGUAGGGAUACCCGCUGAACUUAAGCAUAUCAAUAAGCGGAGGA
This 572-nucleotide ribosomal RNA is filed under the name uncultured fungus. RNAcentral's name for it is "eukaryotic LSU rRNA". The stretch from base 208 to 361 matches the Rfam family "5.8S ribosomal RNA". Lineage: Eukaryota; Fungi. The record is from RNAcentral.